AGAGUUUGAUCCUGGCUCAGGAUGAACGCUAGCGGCAGGCUUAACACAUGCAAGUCGAGGGGUAACAGGAGAAGCUUGCUUUUCGCUGACGACCGGCGCACGGGUGCGUAACGCGUAUGAAACUUGCCUUGUACAUGAGGAUAGCCCGAGGAAACUCGGAUUAAUACUCGAUAAUGUUUUAGAUUCGCAUGAAUUUAAAAUUAAAGCUCCGGCGGUACAAGAUGGUCAUGCGUGACAUUAGAUAGUUGGUGAGGUAACGGCUCACCAAGUCAGCGAUGUCUAGGGGUUCUGAGAGGAUUAUCCCCCACACUGGUACUGAGACACGGACCAGACUCCUACGGGAGGCAGCAGUGAGGAAUAUUGGUCAAUGGGCGCAAGCCUGAACCAGCCAUGCCGCGUGCAGGAAGACUGCCCUACGGGUUGUAAACUGCUUUUGUACAGGAAGAACCCCACUACGUGUAGUGGUUUGACGGUACUGUACGAAUAAGGAUCGGCUAACUCCGUGCCAGCAGCCGCGGUAAUACGGAGGAUCCAAGCGUUAUCCGGAUUUAUUGGGUUUAAAGGGUGCGUAGGCGGUUAAUUAAGUCAGUGGUGAAAUCCUGCAGCUCAACUGCGGAACUGCCAUUGAUACUGGUUGACUAGAGUAUGCGUGAAGUUGGCGGAAUGCGACAAGUAGCGGUGAAAUGCAUAGAUAUGUCGCAGAACCCCAAUUGCGAAGGCAGCUGACUAAAGCAUAACUGACGCUGAUGCACGAAAGCGUGGGUAUCGAACAGGAUUAGAUACCCUGGUAGUCCACGCUGUAAACGAUGAUAACUGGUUGUGCGCGAUACACAGUGCGCGACUGAGGGAAACCAUUAAGUUAUCCACCUGGGGAGUACGUUCGCAAGAAUGAAACUCAAAGGAAUUGACGGGGGCCCGCACAAGCGGAGGAACAUGUGGUUUAAUUCGAUGAUACGCGAGGAACCUACCCGGGCUUAAAUGUAGAUUGCAUGAUUCAGAGAUGGAUCUUUCUUUCACGAGACUAUUUACAAGGUGCUGCAUGGUUGUCGUCAGCUCGUGCCGUGAGGUGUCGGGUUAAGUCCCAUAACGAGCGCAACCCCUAUCCUUAGUUGCCAACAGGUCAAGCUGGGAACUCUAAGGAGACUGCCGCCGCAAGGCGCGAGGAAGGUGGGGAUGACGUCAAAUCAGCACGGCCCUUACGUCCGGGGCUACACACGUGUUACAAUGGCAGGUACAGAGGGCAGCUACAUGGCGACAUGAUGCUAAUCUCGAAAGCCUGUCUCAGUUCGGAUCGUAGUCUGCAACCCGACUACGUGAAGUUGGAUUCGCUAGUAAUCGCAUAUCAGCCAUGAUGCGGUGAAUACUUUCCCGGGCCUUGUACACACCGCCCGUCAAACAAUGGAAGCUGGGGGUACCUGAAGUCUGUAACCGCAAGGAGCGGCCUAGGGUAAAACUAGUAACUGGUGUUAAGUCGUAACAAGGUA
This 1484-nucleotide ribosomal RNA is filed under the name metagenome. RNAcentral describes it as "bacterial SSU rRNA". It matches the Rfam family "Bacterial small subunit ribosomal RNA". The record is from RNAcentral.